GGCGAACGCUGGCGGCGUGCUUAACACAUGCAAGUCGAACGGAAAGGCCCUGCUUGCAGGGUACUCGAGUGGCGAACGGGUGAGUAACACGUGGGUGAUCUGCCCUGCACUUCGGGAUAAGCCUGGGAAACUGGGUCUAAUACCGGAUAGGAGCCAUUUUUAGUGUGAUGGUUGGAAAGUUUUUUCGGUGUAGGAUGAGCUCGCGGCCUAUCAGCUUGUUGGUGGGGUAAUGGCCUACCAAGGCGGCGACGGGUAGCCGGCCUGAGAGGGUGGACGGCCACAUUGGGACUGAGAUACGGCCCAGACUCCUACGGGAGGCAGCAGUGGGGAAUAUUGCACAAUGGGCGCAAGCCUGAUGCAGCGACGCCGCGUGGGGGAUGACGGCCUUCGGGUUGUAAACUCCUUUCGCUAGGGACGAAGCUUUUUGUGACGGUACCUAGAGAAGAAGCACCGGCUAACUACGUG
RNAcentral lists this ribosomal RNA (465 nucleotides) under uncultured bacterium. RNAcentral's name for it is "partial 16S ribosomal RNA". It matches the Rfam family "Bacterial small subunit ribosomal RNA", at positions 28 to 507 of the family's 1533-position model. The record is from RNAcentral.